CCUACGGGAGGCAGCAGUGGGGAAUAUUGGACAAUGGGCGAAAGCCUGAUCCAGCCAUGCCGCGUGUGUGAAGAAGGUCUUCGGAUUGUAAAGCACUUUAAGUUGGGAGGAAGGGCAUUAACCUAAUACGUUGGUGUCUUGACGUUACCGACAGAAUAAGCACCGGCUAACUCUGUGCCAGCAGCCGCGGUAAUACAGAGGGUGCAA
This 207-nucleotide ribosomal RNA is filed under the name uncultured bacterium. RNAcentral's name for it is "partial 16S ribosomal RNA". It matches the Rfam family "Bacterial small subunit ribosomal RNA", at positions 338 to 537 of the family's 1533-position model. The record is from RNAcentral.